This is a non-coding RNA of Schistosoma haematobium, 45 nucleotides long. Lineage: Eukaryota; Metazoa; Platyhelminthes; Trematoda; Strigeidida; Schistosomatidae. The record is from Rfam.
AUUCAGCUGACGAGUCCCAAAUAGGACGAAACGUGCGUCCUGGAU